AAUAGUACCCGGGUAGUCCACGCCGUAAACGAUGAGUGCUAGGUGUUAGGGGGUUUCCGCCCCUUAGUGCUGCAGCUAACGCAUUAAGCACUCCGCCUGGGGGGUACGGUCGCAAGACUGAAACUCAAAGGAAUUGACGGGGGCCCGCACAAGCGGUGGAGCAUGUGGUUUAAUUCAAAGCAACGCGAAGAACCUUACCAGGUCUUGACAUCCCGCUGACCGCCAUGGAGACAUGGCCUUCCCUUCGGGGACAGCGGUGACAGGUGGUGCAUGGUUGUCGUCAGCUCGUGUCGUGAGAUGUUGGGUUAAGUCCCGCAACGAGCGCAACCCUUGUCCUUAGUUGCCAUCAUUCAGUUGGGCACUCUAAGGAGACUGCCGUACAAAUACGGAGGAAGGUGGGGAUGACGUCAAAUCAUCAUGCCCCUUAUGACCUGGGCUACACACGUGCUACAAUGGGUGGUACAAAGGGCAGCAAACCCGCGAGGGGGAGCGAAUCCCAAAAAGCCACUCUCAGUUCGGAUUGCAGGCUGCAACUCG
This 537-nucleotide ribosomal RNA is filed under the name uncultured bacterium. RNAcentral's name for it is "bacterial SSU rRNA". It matches the Rfam family "Bacterial small subunit ribosomal RNA", at positions 777 to 1314 of the family's 1533-position model. The record is from RNAcentral.